This 334-nucleotide long non-coding RNA is filed under the name Gossypium barbadense (sea-island cotton). Its description in RNAcentral is "long non-coding RNA (GBAR_LNC000905)". Lineage: Eukaryota; Viridiplantae; Streptophyta; Magnoliopsida; Malvales; Malvaceae. The record is from RNAcentral.
AGAACUGUGGGAAUUGGUGCUUAUCUUGCUCGUCUUGGCAUGCGGUGCAUACAGAGACUCGAUCAACCCAUUAUUUUGACUGGUUUCUCAGCAUUGAACAAACUUCUAGGUCGUGAGGUGUACAGCUCCCACAUGCAACUUGGUGGACCUAAAAUCAUGGCAACAAAUGGGGUUGUCCAUCUCACCGUUUCAGAUGAUCUUGAAGGGGUGUCAGCCAUAUUGAACUGGCUAAGUUGCAUUCCUCCUCGUAUAGGUGGUCCACUUCCCAUUUUAAAUCCAUCAGAUCCUCCAGAAAGGCUUGUGGAGUACUUACCUGAAAAUUCGUGUGAUCCUC